CACGGGGGGAGCAAGCGUUGUUCGGAAUCACUGGGCGUAAAGGGCGUGUAGGCGGUCAGGUAAGUGGAAUGUGAAAGCCCUCGGCUCACCCGAGGAUCGGCAUCCCAAACUGCCUGGCUUGAGUAUGGGAGAGGACAGGGGAAUUCCUGGUGUAGCGGUGAAAUGCGUAGAUAUCAGGAGGAACACCGGUGGCGAAAGCGCUCUGCUACGCCGCAACUGACACUGAGGGACGAAAGCUAGGGGAGCGAAUGGG
This 253-nucleotide ribosomal RNA is filed under the name uncultured bacterium. RNAcentral's name for it is "partial 16S ribosomal RNA". It matches the Rfam family "Bacterial small subunit ribosomal RNA", at positions 524 to 776 of the family's 1533-position model. The record is from RNAcentral.